CUUAAAGGAAUUGACGGGGAGCACCACAACGAGUGGAGCCUGCGGUUUAAUCGGACUCAAGCCGGGAAACUCACCAGAUAAGACAGCUGAAUGAUAGUCGGGCUGAAGACUCUACUUGACUAGCUGAGAGGAGGUGCAUGGCCGUCGUCAGUUCGUACUGUGAAGCAUCCUGUUAAGUCAGGCAACGAGCGAGACCCACGCCAACAGUUGCCAGCUCGUCCUCCGGGGAUGGUGGGGACACUGUUGGGACCGCCUCUGCUAAAGAGGAGGAGGAAUGGGCAACGGUAGGUCAGCAUGCCCCGAAUUAUCUGGGCUACACGCGGGCUACAAUGGGUGGGACAAUGGGUAUCGACACCGAAAGGUGAAGGCAAUCUCCUAAACCCAUCCGUAGUUCGGAUUGUGGGCUGCAACUCGCCCACAUGAAGCUGGAAUCCGUAGUAAUCGCGUUUCAACAGAACGCGGUGAAUACGUCCCUGCUCCUU
Molecule: ribosomal RNA, 482 nt
Filed under: uncultured Methanomicrobiales archaeon
Lineage: Archaea; Methanobacteriati; Methanobacteriota; Methanomicrobia; Methanomicrobiales
Description: bacterial SSU rRNA
Rfam family: Archaeal small subunit ribosomal RNA
Source: RNAcentral